UACGGAGGAUGCGAGCGUUAUCCGGAUUUAUUGGGUUUAAAGGGUGCGUAGGCGGGCUUUUAAGUCAGCGGUAAAAAUUCGGGGCUCAACCCCGUCCGGCCGUUGAAACUGCAGUUCUUGAGUGAAGUAGAGGCAGGCGGAAUUCCUAGUGUAGCGGUGAAAUGCGUAGAUAUUAGGAGGAACACCAGUGGCGAAGGCGGCCUGCUGGACUGCAACUGACGUUGAGGCCCGAAAGCGUGGGGAGCAAACAGG
This 252-nucleotide ribosomal RNA is filed under the name uncultured bacterium. RNAcentral describes it as "partial 16S ribosomal RNA". It matches the Rfam family "Bacterial small subunit ribosomal RNA", at positions 524 to 776 of the family's 1533-position model. The record is from RNAcentral.